AACUAAGCAUAUCAAUAAGCGGAGGAAAAGAAACCAACAGGGAUUGCCCUAGUAACGGCGAGUGAAGCGGCAACAGCUCAAAUUUGAAAUCUGGCGCAAGCCCGAGUUGUAAUUUGUAGAGGAUGCUUCUGGGUAGCGACCGAUCUAAGUUCCUUGGAACAGGACGUCAUAGAGGGUGAGAAUCCCGUAUGUGACCGGCCCGCACCCUUUACGUAGCUCCUUCGACGAGUCGAGUUGUUUGGGAAUGCAGCUCUAAAUGGGAGGUAAAUUUCUUCUAAAGCUAAAUACCGGCCAGAGACCGAUAGCGCACAAGUAGAGUGAUCGAAAGAUGAAAAGUACUUUGGAAAGAGAGUUAAAAAGCACGUGAAAUUGUUGAAAGGGAAGCGCCUGCAACCAGACUUCGCGGCAGUGUUCCGCCGGUCUUCUGACCGGUUCAUUCUCUGUCGCGAGGCCAUCAUCGUCUGGGCCCGCCGGAUAAGACCUGAGGAAUGUGGCUCCCCCUCGGGGGAGUGUUAUAGCCUCUGGUGAUGCGGCGUGGCUCGGGCGAGGUCCGCGCUUCGGCAAGGAUGAUGGCGUAAUGGUUGUCGGCGGCCCGUCUUGAAACACGGACCAAGGAGUCUAACAUCUAUGCGAGUUUUUGGG
This 642-nucleotide ribosomal RNA is filed under the name Cercospora sp. MG31. RNAcentral's name for it is "LSU rRNA". It matches the Rfam family "Eukaryotic large subunit ribosomal RNA", at positions 32 to 698 of the family's 3401-position model. The record is from RNAcentral. Lineage: Eukaryota; Fungi; Ascomycota; Dothideomycetes; Mycosphaerellales; Mycosphaerellaceae.